This 484-nucleotide ribosomal RNA is filed under the name uncultured bacterium. RNAcentral's name for it is "partial 16S ribosomal RNA". It matches the Rfam family "Bacterial small subunit ribosomal RNA", at positions 30 to 507 of the family's 1533-position model. The record is from RNAcentral.
AUUGAACGCUGGCGGCAGGCCUAACACAUGCAAGUCGAGCGGACGAAGGGAGCUUGCUCCUGGAUUCAGCGGCGGACGGGUGAGUAAUGCCUAGGAAUCUGCCUUGUCGUGGGGGAUAACGUCCGGAAACGGGCGCUAAUACCGCAUACGUCCUGAGGGAGAAAGUGGGGGUUCUUCGGACCUCACGCUAUCAGAUGAGCCUAGGUCGGAUAAGCUAGUUGGUUGGGUAAAGGCCUACCAAGGCGACGAUCCGUAACUGGUCUGAGAGGAUGAUCAGUCACACUGGAACUGAGACACGGUCCAGACUCCUACGGGAGGCAGCAGUGGGGAAUAUUGGGCAAUGGGCGAAAGCCUGAUCCAGCCAUGCCGCGUGAGUGAAGAAGGUCUUCGGAUUGUAAAACACUGUAAGUUGGGAGGAAGAAAAGUGAGUUAAUACAUGGCUGUUUUGACGUUACCAACAGAAUAAGCACCGGCUAACUUCGUG